UUUUUAUUUAAUUAGAAAAGAGAGCAUGCAGGGUUUUCGAAACAUGUAUUCUUCUUCGAUUUAACUUCUAAAACUAAAAACAUAAACUAAUUUUAACUCGGAUAGAAUUUUACGGAAACAAAAGUUCCAGUACUAAACUCCGCCAAAACUCACAUUAUUCAGUAAUACAUUAGAGUAAACCAAAAAGACAAAAUGAAAAGCAAAAAUAGAUAGAUUGGCACUAAGAUUUCCUAACUUCUGAUUCUGAGAUACAAAAGAGUUGUAAAGCCCGCAGAUGACUGUGUGCCUAUAUCUUCCAAGCGGAACUGUAAAAAGAAUAAAAAUAUGAAUGAGAAACUUAGAAAGAGUUUCGGAUUAAGUCGGGUAACCAAUAAAUGAAUCUAGGGAAAGUUACCUUUUCAAAGCUCAUCUUUUGCUUGUUCUGCUUCUGGCUGAGCAGCAGCAGCUUUUGGUUGUUCUACUUCUUGAUGAGCAGCACCAGUUUUAUCCUUGUUCUUUUCAAUGAAUUCAAUGAUGUCUUCCUUUGUCCUACCGCCGUCAUAUUGUGAUAGUUUUCCACUUGCUGACCUGAAGUACAAGGUUGGAUAUCCUUGGACUUCAAAGGUGUCGGUUGGGAUAUCAUUGGCAGUUGCAUCCUGGAAAGCGACACAAUAAGCAUAGAAUAAAGUUAGCCAAAUCAAAAAAUAAAAGAAAAAGGAUGAUGUUAUGAUCAUCAAAGGCUAUAAAACAAGUCACAUAUCUCAUCUUACCAGUUUUGCAAUAACAACAUCAGCAUCACUUUGGAAUGAGACAGCUACUUCAUCCAAGAUUGGAGCCAACUGUUUGCAGUGACCACACCAUGGAGCAUAAAACUCAAUCAAAACUGCAAGUUAUAUAGUUUAUGUCAGUAAAUUAUAUUAGUCUUAACUCUGAAUGAUUAAGGCAAACAACUAAUUAAUAGAAGUCGUGAAUGAGAGAUGGUGAUCUCCGUAUGGUAAUUACUGCCACAUAAUGGUAUCCGAAAAACAUUUUACUUUCCAUGUGUAAUUUAUGCUAUAUACAUGAUCACAAGUUUGUAAUAGUAACAGCAUCAAAGAAACAUGUUACGAACUUCCAUAGAACAUAUACAAGAAGUGCAUAAAUCUUUAGCUUUACAAAAAAGCGAUUCUGGUUUUGAAUUUUGACAAUCUUUACAUGAAUGCAUUAUCUAAUCAUCUCAAAUAUAUUUGUCAAACUCUUUCACAUGCAGGGAACAAAAAUAUUUUGAAAAAUCAUAUGUUGUUUGAACACAAUGAAUACCAAAAUCUAUUAGAAUAAAGCCAAAAAUAAAAGGGAAUAAUUUAAUACCAUUCUUCCCAGACUUGAAAACUAUGUCCUCAAGAGUUUGCCCAACCACUACUUUAACAGGCUCGUUGUUAGUUUCAGGAAUAGGUUCAGACUUGACAAAUGGCUCAACCUUACCAUCCUGAAAAGAAAAUAUGAUAUAUUUAAAAUCUUCAAGACUAACAACAGAAGUAAAGGUACCAACUUAAAGAAGUCAAAGGAAAUAAGCUACUAAGAGAAAUGAGCUAAUACCUUGUAUGCCUUCAACCAAGUUGGGAGUUGAUCAAGUUCCAAAUUGGGUUUGAAAAAUUUCUUGCCAUCAUUAUGCUGAAUAAUAAUUAGAGGUACUUGGUCUUCCUUCAGUCCAAAAUACUGCAAAGAAAAGUCAUUGACAUUGACAAUGUCAAAUAUUAAUAUUAAGCAAAGAAUAACUUGAAAAUAUCUAAAUAUUAAAUACUUUGAUUUGAUACAAACCUGGAAGGCACCUUGGCUAGACUCAACAUCUCCAACAAGAAAGCUAACUCCCUGUUGUUUGUAUUGCUCAGCAAUUUCAUGGUAUUUUGAUUUGAAAGAUUCAGCUCCUUCGGCAGUAAAGUUGAUGAACAACAUAGCCUGCCAAUUUUAUAACCUUAAUUUAGAUUUACAGGAUAACAUGGGUGAAAAACAAAGGCAAAGGAAACAUUGUGUGUUUCGACCAGGAAAUGUAGCAAAAGCAAGCAAGGUUCGCAAAAUGCUUUGAGACACAAAAUGGUAAACUAAAGGCACAUGUAUCAACAAUAUGCUUCUAUAAAUUAAUAACAAAGAUGAAUCAUAAAAAUAACUUAAAUAGCACAUUACCUUUGCGUUGGGAGUGUUAAAGAAUUUGACAACAAAAGGGUGAUUGCUAGGUUCAUUGUUGAAGACAGUCACAAUUGGGAUACUGGAUUCUUCAAUGAAUUUCUCUAGAGCUUCAACAUUGAAAUCCUACGAGCAUGAAACAAUUUUAAACACCAAACAAAAAAAAAAACUAAAACAUGUAACAUGGAACAGUCAAGCUGCAGAAAUCAGAAAUACCUUUGAGUCCACAGAGAGCUCGUCAAAUGGCUUAAACAACCUAACCACAGGCCCAGACACUGAUGAGUCUCCCUUUGGAAGGUGUUUGGCAUUCAAAGUGUGACCAAAGUCAUAGUCAGAACGCAACUUCUCUGCUAAUGCAAUGAAGUUAUCGUACUCCUCUCCAGAAAAUUUAGGGAAAACUCCGACCUGUAAACAUUGAAAGAUAAUAUUAAGAGUUUAAUUUUCAUGCAUCGCAUUUUAUAAGAUUUAACGGUAUAUAUGAAUUAAAUUCUAAGAUUUAACUACAAUGGGUGGAUACUUACAAUAACAACUUUGUUGUCACCAACAAAAGCAGUAGCAUCAUCAGCAGAUUUAAUUUCUGUUGAUGCAGGGCCACUUUGCUUCUUCAAAUACUCAACGAUACCAUCAGCUUCACGGGGACCUUUGUAUUCUUGAAUGUUCUUUCCACCAUUCCUAAAAAUCUUAAUGGUUGGGAAUCCCUUAACAUCAUUUUCCGAUGCGAGGUCUUUGUUGUGCUCCUCAUUGGCAUCAACUUUAGCCAAAACAACUGGUGGCUCGUGAGUGCUCAAGAUAGAAGCAGCCUUCUCAUACUGCAGAUAUAAACAUAACAAAAAAUCAGCAUCAGCAUAAAAUUCCUUCAUUUUUUAACCAAAAUAAUUAAAGAAAAUAAAGGAAAACAAAUCACCUCUGGGGCUAGCUUCUUACAGUGUCCACACCUAGAAAGAUAAAAAAAAAACAAAAUCAAAUUAACAAUUAUAAGAUAAAAGCAAUGCAAUAAUAUUCAUAACAAUUGGUCAAAAUGAAAACUGGAUUUAAUCACAUUCUAUUACAGAAAUAUUAACAGCCUUAAUCAGGUGCAUGCAACAAAUACAAGCUGAAUAAAAAAAAAUUGACAAAAAUCUAAAAAUAAUUUUAAGAAGACAUUUUCAACUAUGAAACACAAACACAUGCACCAAUAACAAUUUGAGAAAAUGACAUAAUUCAAUGUAAUAACAUUUGUUAGUAGUAUCAGGGUGUCGUGUGUCAGAACACUGACAACACAGGACACCUGACAGGCCAUCGACAUAAGAUCAUAAGUGUAGUGCUACAGGGAUUAGCAAGUCUACCAAAGGAUUAUCUCUAAUCGUUGAAAUUAGUACAGAAAACGAAAACUAAUAAUAAUUAGACCUAAUUUAGCAUAAUUACCAAUUUCUAACAUAAAAUUAGCAAAAUUAAGAUCUAAAACACAAUAAAAGCAAAUAAAACAGAUCAGAACAACAAUUGAUGAAUCGAACAUUAACAAAAACAAAAAACAACAUAAAAAACAGGAGAAUCGAAACAUACCAAGGUGCGUAGAAUUCAACGACGAUGAAAUCGUGCUUCUUAACAGUAUCAUGGAAAUUAGUGUUAUCCAAUGUAAGAACAAAUUCCUUAGCGUCAGUUGAUGAUUCCUCAGCGAAGAUCUGAGAAGGAACCAACGCAAGAAGAGAAAACAAUAAACCAAAAAUCGAAACGUUUUUCGCCAUUGUUGGUGUUG
RNAcentral lists this long non-coding RNA (3874 nucleotides) under Medicago truncatula (barrel medic). RNAcentral's name for it is "lncRNA gene17921". Lineage: Eukaryota; Viridiplantae; Streptophyta; Magnoliopsida; Fabales; Fabaceae. The record is from RNAcentral.